GUCUCUAGCCCAGUUGGUAGAGUAUGAGACUUUUAAUCCCAGGUGUCAUGAGUUCGAGCCACACAUUGGGUGAAACA
This is a non-coding RNA of Podarcis lilfordi (Lilford's wall lizard), 77 nucleotides long. The record is from the annotation of a GenBank genome assembly. Lineage: Eukaryota; Metazoa; Chordata; Lepidosauria; Squamata; Lacertidae.